Molecule: ribosomal RNA, 525 nt
Filed under: Trichoderma sp. CJ18-711
Lineage: Eukaryota; Fungi; Ascomycota; Sordariomycetes; Hypocreales; Hypocreaceae
Description: eukaryotic LSU rRNA
Rfam family: 5.8S ribosomal RNA (bases 172-325)
Source: RNAcentral
CUCCCAAACCCAAUGUGAACGUUACCAAACUGUUGCCUCGGCGGGGUCACGCCCCGGGUGCGUAAAAGCCCCGGAACCAGGCGCCCGCCGGAGGAACCAACCAAACUCUUUCUGUAGUCCCCUCGCGGACGUAUUUCUUACAGCUCUGAGCAAAAAUUCAAAAUGAAUCAAAACUUUCAACAACGGAUCUCUUGGUUCUGGCAUCGAUGAAGAACGCAGCGAAAUGCGAUAAGUAAUGUGAAUUGCAGAAUUCAGUGAAUCAUCGAAUCUUUGAACGCACAUUGCGCCCGCCAGUAUUCUGGCGGGCAUGCCUGUCCGAGCGUCAUUUCAACCCUCGAACCCCUCCGGGGGAUCGGCGUUGGGGAUCGGGACCCCUCACCGGGUGCCGGCCCUGAAAUACAGUGGCGGUCUCGCCGCAGCCUCUCCUGCGCAGUAGUUUGCACAACUCGCACCGGGAGCGCGGCGCGUCCACGUCCGUAAAACACCCAACUUCUGAAAUGUUGACCUCGGAUCAGGUAGGAAUAC